Molecule: long non-coding RNA, 1015 nt
Filed under: Equus caballus (horse)
Lineage: Eukaryota; Metazoa; Chordata; Mammalia; Perissodactyla; Equidae
Description: lncRNA (ENSECAG00000050399.1)
Source: RNAcentral
CUUAGAUCAAACUUGAGUGGGUUAGGAUUAGGGUCAAUUCUUGUAUCAUUGUACACAAUGACUGCUUCCUCCUAUAUUUUCUUUGUAUGUUUUAGAGAGUCUAAUAUUCAUGUUCUAAAUAUAUCAAUUCAAAUGUGUGCAUCAUAAAUGUAGUCUUUCAAAGCUAUUCAUUUGUCCUGCUCAAAUAUGUAAAUAGCUAAAUGCCCUUUACUGUUGCACCAGAAAAUUCAGGGCUUUUAGUUUGCUAAUUACAUUUAAGUACUGCUGACUUACUGUGUAUGUUUAAAAGAGAUAUCUGGGAAUUGAAUUAACUAUAAAUUCUCCACUUGAAGUAGUAUGGGCUGCUUUUCCAAAUUCCUGUCUUCAAAAUAGGGCUGUGACAACCUAAGGUCAAAAAGAAUAUGGUUUAAAUCUACCACCUUCAGACAACUCUCACCUUCACAAUUUUUUUUCACUUUUUGCUAUACUGUCCCCAACUAUUAAAACAGAACUAGAAACAACAAUUAGAAGUAUUCUUCAACAAUGACAAGUAAAGGUCACGUAUAUUAUGUGAGGAUAUAUCUGCAAAUUCCAUGAAAUCCAUUUAUAUAAGUUACUGCCUCAAAAACAAUUGAUGGUAAAUUUGUUUUAAAUUAUUUUAAAAGCCUUAUUUUACAUGGUAGAACAAAUGUCAGAGAAUCUAAGACAAGACAAAUAAUAUCAUCACUCUAGUGUUAAACAAUGAAAAUGAACAAUCUGAUUUAUUUGCAAGAAAGAGUAUACAAAUACAGUUAAAUAACUUUUUACUUCCCAGGUGACUGGAGAGUUGAAAUUAUCAUACACAAAAAUCUUCUAAAACCUAUCAAAAAUAAUAAAAAGAACAAAGAUAUUGCUAUGGACUGAAUGCCUGCAUGCCCCAAAAUUCAUAUGUUGACGUUUAAUCACCAAUGUGCUGGUAACUGGAGGUAGGGCCUUUGGGCGGUAAAUACAUCAGGAGGGUGAAGCCCUCACAAAUGAGAUUAGUGCCCAUAUAAGA